GCCAGACUCCUACGGGAGGCAGCAGUGGGGAAUAUUGCACAAUGGGGGGAACCCUGAUGCAGCGACGCCGCGUGGGUGAAGGAGCACCUCGGUGCGUAAAGCCCUAUCGGCAGGGAAGAAACAGACGGUACCUGACUAAGAAGCCCCGGCUAACUACGUGCCAGCAGCCGCGGUAAUACGUAGGGGGCAAGCGUUAUCCGGAUUUACUGGGUGUAAAGGGAGCGUAGACGGUUAUGCAAGUCUGAAGUGAAAGCCCAAGGCUCAACCAUGGGACUGCUUUGGAAACUGUAAAACUGGAGUGCAGGAGAGGUAAGCGGAAUUCCUAGUGUAGCGGUGAAAUGCGUAGAUAUUAGGAGGAACACCAGUGGCGAAGGCGGCUUACUGGACGGUAACUGACGUUGAGGCUCGAAAGCGUGGGGAGCAAACAGGAUUAGAUACCCCCGUAU
RNAcentral lists this ribosomal RNA (446 nucleotides) under uncultured bacterium. RNAcentral's name for it is "bacterial SSU rRNA". It matches the Rfam family "Bacterial small subunit ribosomal RNA", at positions 330 to 793 of the family's 1533-position model. The record is from RNAcentral.